AGUUUUACGUGCGGGUUGUCCCAGCGGGCACUGGCCAGCUGUCAAAAUUUGCGAGUUAUGGGAGAUUUUAUCGAAAUGAAAAAGCUUCUUUGACAUUUUUCCUGGGAAUAUCUGAAAAGGUUGAGGAAUCAGCUAAUCGCCAAAGACACGGGGGCUUUAUGGAAAGUCAUUCGAGUAUAAUUGAAGACCGGUUGUACCCUUGAUGGACAAUUCGAAGAAAAAUUACUGGUGCAACUGGAGUUAUUACUAACUUCUCCGUGAGUUUGUGAGGUGGAUGACGAGAAUCACCUGCAUUUCACUAGAUUUAUGUAGAUAUGAGAUUAUCCAGAGUUGCCUGACGCUCAGCCCCGGUGAAAUUCCUCCACCCUCUUGAUGCCGCCACCUACAACCCCCAGAGGGGAAUGACCCCCCAGGACACUUGAACAAUUUCAACUUUAAAAUUCAUUCCAACACUCCGAUUUCACCCGAAUUUCCAUUCGAAAUCAAUUUGAUAUUCCAUUAUAUUAAUGUCCAACAGUUCGGAUAAUUGAUGGGUAAUAAAC
This is a long non-coding RNA of Fopius arisanus, 542 nucleotides long. RefSeq lists it as uncharacterized. The record is from RefSeq and is a predicted model, not a curated record. Lineage: Eukaryota; Metazoa; Arthropoda; Insecta; Hymenoptera; Braconidae. The transcript has 4 exons.